GAGAGCCCCAGGAGGAAGGGGGGACUGUCAGCAGCAUAGGAUCAAGGAGCUGGAAGAGACCUUUAGAACAUCUGGUCAUUUUGCCAACUGGGUGUCUGCACUAAGUUCGGCAUCAAUCGGGUGACCUCCUGGCAGCAGGGGGCCACCAGGUUGCCUCAGGAUGAGUGAACUGGCCCAGAUCAGAAAGGGAGCAGGUCAGAACUCCUGCACCAACCGGUAGUGUGACUGUGCCUGGGCAAUAUAGCAAGAUCUCGGUUCUUAAAAGGAAAAAUAAAGAACAGCAGCUCCUU
Molecule: signal recognition particle RNA, 290 nt
Filed under: Macaca nemestrina (pig-tailed macaque)
Lineage: Eukaryota; Metazoa; Chordata; Mammalia; Primates; Cercopithecidae
Description: Metazoan signal recognition particle RNA (ENSMNEG00000000829.1)
Rfam family: Metazoan signal recognition particle RNA (bases 73-246)
About the family: The signal recognition particle (SRP) is a universally conserved ribonucleoprotein. It is involved in the co-translational targeting of proteins to membranes. The eukaryotic SRP consists of a 300-nucleotide 7S RNA and six proteins: SRPs 72, 68, 54, 19, 14, and 9.
Source: RNAcentral